This is a long non-coding RNA of Monopterus albus (swamp eel), 989 nucleotides long. RefSeq lists it as uncharacterized. Lineage: Eukaryota; Metazoa; Chordata; Actinopteri; Synbranchiformes; Synbranchidae. The transcript is spliced from 4 exons. The record is from RefSeq and is a predicted model, not a curated record.
GUCAGGCUCAUGUCAAACACUAUGGACGUCCCUGAAACACACGCCAGCCAUGACUCCUGGGUCCUGGACAUGGAUGUGAACUCUACAGGCAGGAGGAACAACGUGACAGGAUGGAUCGCAUGAAAAAGCACCAACCAUCAAUCAUCAAACAGUUCGAGGCUUGCAGUGGGAAACAGUACCGUGCCACUGUGACUGCGCUCCAAGACAACUGAGCACUCCAGGCAUCCCGUCACACACUGAAUACAUGGACAUGUGGCUGGUAAGGACACACAGGAGCGUCCCUCAGGAAGCUGUUUAUCCACGACUGUUCUGCCACUGGAACCUCGUAUUUAUUAGUGUGACUGUCACGAGGAAGGAGACUAACCUAAAACUACCAUCUGUUCUGAAAUCUAACCCAGCCUCCCUCUACACAUCUAGCAUUAACCAUGCUGUGUUGACAACUACAAAACUGUGGAAUAAAUUGCCUUCUGUUCUAGUCAACCGAGCUCUGGGGUAUCACACGUUCUGUCCAUGCUCAGUACUGCUGACUGUAAUGUCCAACUUUAAAAUAAAAAGGGGUGGGGGGGGACUUUCAAAAGUAGAAAUAAUGGGAGUUGGGAUUGGUUGGAACAAAGAUGCUUCUGGGUGUCUUGUUGAAACUUCACUACAGAACUUGUGUAUCCUGUGCCAUAAUGUAGAGAUCUGUUGCUACUGUAAGAUGGAUUUUACCCACUGUCCACUUAAGUCGUUUCAUUGGCACUUUUGUUUUAGUUUUAGCUCCACUGUUUAGGCCUUGUGGGAGAUGUGUACUCUCACAGACACAGAAACCCAUUUCAAGUCCUGUUUGCUGCAUUUGUUCAUUUCCUUUCUUUGCCACUUUUUUUUUUUCUCUAUAUCUGGGAUACAGUUAUCUUUAAGGCAUCAGAUUUCACAUGCAUAAACCAAGAAAUGCCAUAAAUUGAUUUAUCACCUUGUUUACAGACAGAUCAAAUAAAUUUAUUCCAACCAAA